This 253-nucleotide ribosomal RNA is filed under the name uncultured bacterium. RNAcentral describes it as "partial 16S ribosomal RNA". It matches the Rfam family "Bacterial small subunit ribosomal RNA", at positions 524 to 776 of the family's 1533-position model. The record is from RNAcentral.
UACGAAGGGGACUAGCGUUGUUCGGAAUUACUGGGCGUAAAGCGCACGUAGGCGGAUCGAUCAGUCAGGGGUGAAAUCCCAGGGCUCAACCCUGGAACUGCCUUUGAUACUGUCGAUCUGGAGUAUGGAAGAGGUGAGUGGAAUUCCGAGUGUAGAGGUGAAAUUCGUAGAUAUUCGGAGGAACACCCGUGGCGAAGGCGGCUCACUGGUCCAUUACUGACGCUGAGGUGCGAAAGCGUGGGGAGCAAACAGG